This 1980-nucleotide long non-coding RNA is filed under the name Panax ginseng (ginseng). Its description in RNAcentral is "long non-coding RNA (PGIN_LNC004938)". The record is from RNAcentral. Lineage: Eukaryota; Viridiplantae; Streptophyta; Magnoliopsida; Apiales; Araliaceae.
GCGCGCCGACAGUGAACGGACGGUCCACCCGCCAAUCACGCCGUUACGGCUCUGUCCAUCUUUACGAGUGUGUAUACAUACUGAAAAACGAAGAAAGGUUGACUCUCUAAUUGAUUCCAAUAGAGGCAUGGCAGUGCCAUGGAGUAUGACGCUAUGGAUGAGUAAGAUGGUGUGGGUAGCUCUCUGUGGGUGGGUUUUUUCUUGUUUGUCUGUUGCUGAUGAGAUUGCAAGCGCCCUCCGCUCCGGCGAUAUGGGUCCUUUCCAUGUUGGUUGAUUCCAAGUAUUUCUGCCCUACUUACUCAUCCGUGUCCUGGCUUGUUCUUGUGAAUUUGUUGUCCUUCAAUUUUGCUUCUUUGAAUUCAUGAUGGUACAUAUGAUAAGUAUGUUUGUUUUGUGUGAUGGGUAUUGUUGAACUGGUUCUAAAUUAUAUGGUUGAUUUUGAUCCUGAUGGUGUACUUUUGUGAUGCUUUCUUUGGAUUCUGUUUGAUGAAUUUUAUCUGUGAUAUUUUGUUGAGUUAUGUUCGACAUAUAGUUUUGCCCUUUUUUAUAUCUAGUUUUUCUUGCUGUAUUCGGGACUGGAAUAGUGAUAAUUAAACAUAGUUGGAGAAUCUUUUAAAUGCCUGCAGCUAUAGUUCCUAAGAUUUUUUCUGUGAGGCCACUGCCUUAUUUAGUUGCAUAGAAUUUAUGUGAUUCAAAGUCAGGACUGUGCUGGUGAACUCUUGUAAAGGGGUUAUUUAUAUAAGGAGGAAUUAAUAAAAGACUAGACUGAAUUAAGUAGGUAAUUUAUACUGAAAGAUACUGGAAUUUUGAUCAAUCCAAAUUUUCUUAUAUUUUCAUGAACCAAAUCCAAUAAAUUAUCUAAUCAAACUAUAAGCUUUUGGUCACUAUUGUAUGAAGACCCUAUUGUCUAACUUGACAUUGCACAACUGUCAGAGUUCAGGCCUGGAAGUGGUGGCUGAACUCACCGCAGGCAAUAUUAGCAAAUUUUCAUAAAGAAAAAAUAAAUCUAGAAUGGCAGUAUCCAAAAGCAUGACUAGCUGCUUUUAAAUUUGAUUAGAACAUAUCAGCUAACAUUAAGGAGUCAGCUUAGAAGUCUCCGGAUUCAGUUAUUGCAUAAAUAUCUGGACACAGGCGGAGAUCAAGUUUCUGAACAAGAGUUUUCUGUCCUAUGGUUCUUUUGCACCCUACUUGUCCAAAAACAAACUAGUAAUAUGAACCGAAGGAUUUGUUUUGGUAGUAAACAUUGGCUAGUCUUAAAAUAUUCAUAACAUAAAUGUCAUUUGCACUUUGGCAUAAAUCAUAAGGAGGUUAAAUGCAGGUUUUAGGACCACAGUGGGUUAUGUAAACCACAGGGUGGUAAAAUGUAUGUGCUCCGACUAUUAUUAAAAUAUGUUGUCAUAUCAUAUUCAAAUGUGCAUUAUAUGUACUCCUACACUCAGUACUUAAGCCUUACAACUCCACUUUCUUUCUGAGGACUUGCAGUCUGUCAAAUAUUUAAUCAAUAGAAUACUUCUGCUGUUGUGCAGGUAAUUUAUUACAUGCUAGGUGAGAAACUGACAGAGGAUGCAGAAUCUUCUUCAGUUACAGUUCAUGAAGAUUGAAUCCUGUGCGAUUGCAUCUGUAAAGGAUCAGGAUUUAGAACUCAAGAAAUCCGGGAUUGCUAGGAACGAUCAGGAGUAGAAAGCCGUUUUUUCUCAUAGAAAGAAAUGUCAUGUAACAGUUUUUAUUCCAUGAUGGGAACAAUAAAUGAAGAGAAGUGUAAAUGUAUAUAAGCCUAUUUUAUCUUGUGUCUGUCUUGCUUUUUACAAAUGUAUAUACCUGUAUAUGACAAACUAAAGAGGAGCUUGUAUGCUACUCCUUUCGUCCCUUAAUAAUAAGACCUUUUAGAGAAGUUUUUUUGUUCCUUAAUAUAUGACGUUUUAGAAUUCCAAGUAAGCAUUAAUUGCUUAGUUUUCAAUAUUAAUUAAAUAUAACUUUGGG